GCCUGGGCAUGGCCAGGAGCUUCGCUUUGGUGCCUGAUUCUUCUCGGAGGGUCCCAGUCCCCCCAGCCGCAUCUGCACUCUAACAAAGGCAGGCUCCUCUCCACAGCCCACAGGAUGAUCCCGCUGUGUUGGCGCUACCUUGGUUCACAUUCUGGACAAAGAGACUCUUCUGGGGAGACAGCAUCAGUUUUCAAAGAGGAAGGAGCGAGUCCCCCACAUGUUAUCAAAGACGUCCAUUCUACCAUACAA
This is a long non-coding RNA of Mastomys coucha (southern multimammate mouse), 249 nucleotides long. RefSeq lists it as uncharacterized. The record is from RefSeq and is a predicted model, not a curated record. NCBI's taxonomy places the organism in Eukaryota, Metazoa, Chordata, Mammalia, Rodentia, Muridae. The transcript has 2 exons.